GCCUAAAGCGUCCGUAGCCGGCUCUGUAAGUUUUCGGUUAAAUCCAUAUGCUCAACAUAUGGGCCGCCGGGAAUACUGCAUAGCUAGGGAGUGGGAGAGGUAGACGGUACUCCGUAGGAAGGGGUAAAAUCCUUUGAUCUAUGGAUGACCACCUGUGGCGAAGGCGGUCUACCAGAACACGUUCGCCGGUGAGGGAUGAAAGCUGGGGGAGCAAACCGGAUUAGAUACCCGGGUAGUCCCAGCUGUAAACUAUGCAAACUCAGUGAUGCAUUGGCUUGUGGCCAGUGCAGUGCCGCAGAGAAGUCGUUAAGUUUGCCGCCUGGGAAGUACGUACGCAAGUAUGAAACUUAAAGGAAUUGGCGGGGGAGUACCACAAGGGGUGAAGCCUGCGGUUCAAUUGGAGUCAACGCCAGAAAUCUUACCCGGAGAGACAGCAGGAUGAAGGUCAAGUUGAAGCCUUUACCAGACAAGCUGAGAAGUGGUGCAUGGCCGUCGCCAGCUCGUGCCGUGAGAUGUCCUGUUAAGUCAGGUAACGAGCGAGAUCCUUGCCUCUAGUUGCCACCAUUACUCUCAGGAGUAGUGGGGCGAAUUAGCGGGACUGCCGUAGUUAAUACGGAGGAAGGAGAGGGCCACGGCAGGUCAGUAUGCCCCGAA
This 654-nucleotide ribosomal RNA is filed under the name uncultured archaeon. RNAcentral describes it as "bacterial SSU rRNA". It matches the Rfam family "Archaeal small subunit ribosomal RNA", at positions 508 to 1160 of the family's 1478-position model. The record is from RNAcentral.